Molecule: long non-coding RNA, 1563 nt
Organism: Lutra lutra (Eurasian river otter)
Lineage: Eukaryota; Metazoa; Chordata; Mammalia; Carnivora; Mustelidae
Exons: 4
Source: RefSeq, a predicted model, not a curated record
UGCCAGCGUGGACGGGCACACACGUUCACCUCCUUGGCCCUCUUGCGGGUUCUGAGCAGCCGGCUGACUUAGCGCCGGGCCUGCAGGCUAGAUUGGCAGGGCCUGAAGAGCCAGAUCCUGAGGCCCAGCCAGAGGACACCGCGCGGAGAACAUGGGCUUCACCUUGGAGCCAGAGCCAGGUUGCUGGGGGGAGGAGUGUGGGUGCAGAGAACUCCAGAGAAUGGUCCUCCCUGUUCUCCUCCUUCCUGCGGGAAGGAGACUCCAGAAUCUCGAAGUACAGGUGGAACGCAUCCCAGAGGGGACUCCAAUGGGACUCCAAGGGGAGUGUGGCCCUUGGGAGCCUCGGGGACCCAGCCACUGCCAUCCCUGACCUCGGAGCCCACGGGCUCCUUUUCCCCAUUGCUUCUGCCUCUCAGACUGAAGACUGUGUCUCCCCACACGUCUUCGUCUCCUGGCAGGCUCCUCUUGGUUCUCUCCCCAACCCAGUGUCAAUCCCACUGUACCACUGCUAACUGAGAUGGACUGAGCCAUACUUUCCACGGGAUCAGGAGGGCCUGCCAGGGAAGCCCAACAGGGCCUCUCCGGGAAGUCCAGAGAAUCUUGACCCGUUUCAGGAAUCCAGGUCGGUGGGCAAGGGAGCGUCCAAGGAGCCACGCCACCAGCAUGGCCCUCACGGCUGGGUCUGCACCCGGCCUCGUCAAGCCCCGGAACGCGUAGCUGUGCCAAAAAGUAGAGCAACGUGCGGUGACCGACGUGGACGUGUCAGGCACACGAGGGCCAGUUUGAAAGGCUUCCCGCUGGCCAAAUCAAGGAAGGAGAGUGUUGGUCAUCUUACCUGUGGACUCAGAGCUAGAAUCCAGAACCCGCUUGGAAUCCACUUUUUAAAGCCUGGGAUCAGAACCCCUAGGACGGGGCAUUUCUCCACCAUGCGCCCACGGGACCAGAGGAUGCUGAAAUCGCUGGGCAGUGGACCACACGAACCAAGGUGACAAAUCCUUGCAAGUAACCCCGCAAAGAAGAAGAAAAGGGGCUUUUUCCAUUAAAAACAGCUGCCGGGCCUGGCUGAACAAUGCACUUCAACUACAGUGCCAACGGAGAAAAAGGGAGAAAAAGCAAAAAAAUCGCUGGGCAGUGGACCACACGAACCAAGGUGACAAAUCCUUGCAAGUAACCCCGCAAAGAAGAAGAAAAGGGGCUUUUUCCAUUAAAAACAGCUGCCGGGCCUGGCUGAACAAUGCACUUCAACUACAGUGCCAACGGAGAAAAAGGGAGAAAAAGCAAAAGAACCACGCUGUGAAUCCGCAGGAUCAAGGCGCACCCGUAGGAAUAGGAAAACCACAAACCACGACUCAGCACACCCGAAAGAAUACAAGAGAAACCUUCCUUUGAGAAACCAGAAACGCCAGGGGAAAGCGCGAACGCAGUCCCCCACUACCACAAAUUAUGCAGUCGAGUUUCCCACAUUUGGGGAAAUCGCAGGGGUCAGCACAUCCGGAGUGCAAUGGAUAAGCCUCGCCCUGGGAAAACCACCUUCGUGAUCAUGGUAUCUCCCCUGCCAGGUAA